CACGUAGGGCGCAAGCGUUGUCCGGAAUUAUUGGGCGUAAAGAGCUCGUAGGCGGUUGGGUAAGUCGGGUGUGAAAAUUCCAGGCUCAACUUGGAGACGCCACCCGAUACUGCUCUGACUUGAGUUCGGUAGGGGAGUGGGGAAUUCCUGGUGUAGCGGUGAAAUGCGCAGAUAUCAGGAGGAACACCGGUGGCGAAGGCGGGACUCUGGGCCGAUACUGACGCUGAGGAGCGAAAGCGUGGGGAGCAAACAGG
Molecule: ribosomal RNA, 254 nt
Filed under: uncultured bacterium
Lineage: Bacteria
Description: partial 16S ribosomal RNA
Rfam family: Bacterial small subunit ribosomal RNA
Source: RNAcentral